This 465-nucleotide ribosomal RNA is filed under the name Vreelandella stevensii. RNAcentral describes it as "partial 16S ribosomal RNA". It matches the Rfam family "Bacterial small subunit ribosomal RNA", at positions 338 to 795 of the family's 1533-position model. Lineage: Bacteria; Pseudomonadati; Pseudomonadota; Gammaproteobacteria; Oceanospirillales; Halomonadaceae. The record is from RNAcentral.
CCUACGGGGGGCAGCAGAGGGGAAUAUUGGACAAUGGGCGAAAGCCUGAUCCAGCCAUGCCGCGUGUGUGAAGAAGGCCUUCGGGUUGUAAAGCACUUUCAGUGGGGAAGAAAGCCUUGGGGCUAAUACCCUCGAGGAAGGACAUCACCCACAGAAGAAGCACCGGCUAACUCCGUGCCAGCAGCCGCGGUAAUACGGAGGGUGCGAGCGUUAAUCGGAAUUACUGGGCGUAAAGCGCGCGUAGGCGGUCUGAUAAGCCGGUUGUGAAAGCCCCGGGCUCAACCUGGGAACGGCAUCCGGAACUGUCAGGCUAGAGUGCAGGAGAGGAAGGUAGAAUUCCCGGUGUAGCGGUGAAAUGCGUAGAGAUCGGGAGGAAUACCAGUGGCGAAGGCGGCCUUCUGGACUGACACUGACGCUGAGGUGCGAAAGCGUGGGUAGCAAACAGGAUUAGAUACCCGGGUAGUC